Molecule: long non-coding RNA, 217 nt
Filed under: Dasypus novemcinctus (nine-banded armadillo)
Lineage: Eukaryota; Metazoa; Chordata; Mammalia; Cingulata; Dasypodidae
Description: lncRNA (ENSDNOG00000052203.1)
Source: RNAcentral
UUCAGGAGGCACUUGACUGUGUCAUUCCAGGUUCCUCCUCUGCUCGCAGACACAAGAUAUGACUUUUAGAGAAAGGCCAUGACUGGUGACUCAAGGAACUAGAAAUGAGGACCACAACUCGUGCCUUCCCCCUUAAACCGACUGAAAGGUUGGACCCAGACAGUUAAAUUAUAAUUACAGCCCCAUCUGGAGGGGGAGAAAGUACGGUACUCGACGG